RNAcentral lists this ribosomal RNA (481 nucleotides) under uncultured bacterium. RNAcentral's name for it is "partial 16S rRNA". The record is from RNAcentral.
GCACGAACUUAGCCCGUGCUUCCUCUGAGGCUCUGUCAAGUACAGGGGAGUACCCCCAUACACUUCAUCCCCUCUGACAGCGGUUUACAAUCCGAAGACCUUCAUCCCGCACGCGGCGUCGCUCGGUCAGACUUGCGUCCAUUGCCGAAGAUUCUCGACUGCAGCCACCCGUAGGUGUCUGGCCAGUGUCUCAGUGCCAGUGGUGGGGGCCAUGCUCUCACACCCCCUAAGCGUCGUCGCCUUGGUGAGCCGUUACCUCACCAACAAGCUGAUACUGCGUAAGCCGCUCCCCAGGUGGAAUCACACCCAUUGCUUCCCCUCCAAUAAUGAUUGGGAAGUUUAUCGAGUAUUACCCACAGUUUCCCGUGGCUGUCCUCGCCCCGGGGGUACGUUACCUACGUGUUCCUACCCCGUUCGCCGCUGUCCCCCUUGCGGGUUCUCGCUCGACUUGCAUGCCUAAUCCACGCCGCCAACGUUCAUU